GACGAACGCUGGCGGCGUGCUUAACACAUGCAAGUCGAACGGAAAGGCCCUGCUUUUGUGGGGUGCUCGAGUGGCGAACGGGUGAGUAACACGUGAGUAACCUGCCCUUGACUUUGGGAUAACUUCAGGAAACUGGGGCUAAUACCGGAUAGGAGCUCCUGCUGCAUGGUGGGGGUUGGUAAGUUUCGGCGGUUGGGGAUGGACUCGCGGCUUAUCAGCUUGUUGGUGGGGUGGUGGCUUACCAAGGCUUUGACGGGUAGUCGGCCUGGGAGGGUGACCGGCCACAUUGGGACUGAGAUACGGCCCAGACUCCUACGGGAGGCAGCAGUGGGGAAUAUUGCACAAUGGGCGGAAGCCUGAUGCAGCAACGCCGCGUGCGGGAUGACGGCCUUCGGGUUGUAAACCGCUUUCGCCUGUGACGAAGCGUGAGUGACGGUAAUGGGUAAAGAAGCACCGGCUAACUACGUG
This 468-nucleotide ribosomal RNA is filed under the name uncultured bacterium. RNAcentral's name for it is "partial 16S ribosomal RNA". It matches the Rfam family "Bacterial small subunit ribosomal RNA", at positions 28 to 507 of the family's 1533-position model. The record is from RNAcentral.